GGCUCGCAGCGGUUCUGACGUGCAAAUCGAUCGUCAAAUCUGCGCAUGGGGGCGAAAGACUAAUCGAACCAUCUAGUAGCUGGUUACCGCCGAAGUUUCCCUCAGGAUAGCAGUGUUGUCUUCAGUUUUAUGAGGUAAAGCGAAUGAUUAGGGACUCGGGGGCUAUAUAUUGCCUUCAUCCAUUCUCAAACUUUAAAUAUGUAAGAAGCUCUUGUUACUUAGUUGAACGUGAGCAUUCGAAUGUACCAACACUAGUGGGCCAUUUUUGGUAAGCAGAACUGGCGAUGCGGGAUGAACCGAACGCGGGGUUAAGGUGCCGGAGUGGACGCUCAUCAGACACCACAAAAGGUGUUAGUACAUCUUGACAGCAGGACGGUGGCCAUGGAAGUCGGAAUCCGCUAAGGACUGUGUAACAACUCACCUGCCGAAUGUACUAGCCCUGAAAAUGGAUGGCGCUCAAGCGUCCCACCCAUACCUCGCCCUCAGGGUAGAAACGAUGCCCUGAGGAGUAGGCGGCCGUGGAGGUCAGUGACGAAGCCUAGGGCGUGAGCCCGGGUAGAACGGCCUCUAGUGCAGAUCUUGGUGGUAGUAGCAAAUACUUCAAUGAGAACUUGAAGGACCGAAGUGGGGAAAGGUUCCAUGUGAACAGCGGUUGGACGUGGGUUAGCCGAUCCUAAGCCAUAGGGAAGUUCCGUUUUAAAGUGCGCACUUGUGCGCCGUAUGGCGAAAGGGAAGCCGGUCAAUAUUC
This 748-nucleotide ribosomal RNA is filed under the name Erythrobacter sp. YJ-T3-07. RNAcentral's name for it is "partial 23S ribosomal RNA". It matches the Rfam family "Eukaryotic large subunit ribosomal RNA", at positions 872 to 1618 of the family's 3401-position model. The record is from RNAcentral. Lineage: Bacteria; Pseudomonadati; Pseudomonadota; Alphaproteobacteria; Sphingomonadales; Erythrobacteraceae.